RNAcentral lists this long non-coding RNA (263 nucleotides) under Brassica rapa (field mustard). Its description in RNAcentral is "long non-coding RNA (BRAP_LNC004315)". The record is from RNAcentral. Lineage: Eukaryota; Viridiplantae; Streptophyta; Magnoliopsida; Brassicales; Brassicaceae.
AUAUAUUAAAAGAUAAGUCAUUUUAGUGAUUUCUACUGACGUGGCAAUCACAGAGAGCUUCUCAGGAAAAUUCUUAUAAUUCUAUUGGUUGAUUUUUUAGAAUUUUCUUUUUUUUUUUAAUUCACUCGCGUACGAGAAGUGGAAAACGCCGUCGUAUUUUUUCGAAUUUUCUUCUUCAUCUUUUUUUUAAUUCAAUCGCGCAUCAGAUGAGUUUGAAACCGAUGAAGACAGUAUGAGCAGAUGAGUUUGCUUCUCGACACUCU